UUUUCAAAUACUCAGGGCAGAGAUAAACCACGAUCAUUUGCACAAGGACAGGACUCUUUGAACUAGGGAAAUGCAAACUGGCAACUCAACGGCAAACCGUUAGCAUUACAAGCGGCCAAUUUUAAAAGGUCAAUAUACCAAACUAACGGUAUUCAUCAAAGCAGCAACAUAUAAUCCUAACGUUUCAUUUAUAAAGUGCGCCGUGUGUGAUGGCAACAAAACCCAGGAGCCGAGGGAGGACGAGCCGAGCUGACGUAGUUGGGGGGAGAGACCCGCUCCCAGGAAGACUCUCGCCAGGAUGGGUCUGGAACCACCGCUGCUGAACUUCAUGUGCAAGGGCAGCUGGCAGGUGCGUUUUAGGGGACGCGGUGCCGUAAAGCCGCCCUAAUCACGCACCAUGGCCCGGGGCCGACGCUGACAAGUAGGUCUGCGGGGUCAGGACCCGAAGGCCAGAGACAGAAUCACACAUUUGUGGGAAUUUUACAAACGAUGACGCUUGCAUCUCACACCCCGGAGGACCAGUGAGUGACGCGGUGUCUGCGGCCGUGCCUCUGAGCCGGGGGACGUCACCCCGCUCUGCCUUCCACGGAGCCCAGCGAGGCGUGGGCGGCUCCCACCUUGGUUGUGUGUUUGCCUCUUUGUUGAGUGAGAGGAGCCUGGACCUUCCGAAAGGGGCGGAGGAGGCGCUGGGAGCGGACACACCACUUGGCUGAGGAGGGAAGCCCACGGGAGGGGACGCACUGAGGGUACGGGCUGGUCACCAUGGUCAGAGGACAGCAUUGGCCACGCCGCCUAGCCCCCCUGUGCAUUUCCAGGGACAAAAGCAGGACUUGGUGGCCAGGGACUUGUGACCAGCAAGGAGGCGGAGCUCUGCACUAGGUCCAGAAGCCUGAUGCACGCGGAGCCUGGAGAACCACUCCUCAGCGGGGUCCUGGGCCCGUCCACACCUGCACCCACUUCCGCCAACUGUCUCCCCAGCCCGUGUCUGCUGCCAACGUCUCCAGAGACCCUGGGCCUCUGUGUCUCGGCCACCUCUGGACUGGGAUGUGGGGUGUCCAGUACUGACCCUUCUGAGACCUGGAGGAGUGAUGAGACUGGGGCUCUAACAGGUGUGACCCCAGGACGCACAGAGCUCACCUGCUGGACCCCAGGCCAGAGGGCUUCCUUCUUCUCCUCUCAGAGUCAUGAACCUCUCCUGGGUCAUUCUGGGUAAGGAAUGUAAUCGAGGGGUUAAUCAGUGGAGGCAGGAGUGGGGAGGGCAGAGAGGGAGGAGGGGAGUGGAGGGGAGAGGACAGAGAGGAGGGGGGGACCUUCCAAGUGUCCAGGUGUCCAAUGAAGGGGCUGAUUUUCCGUGUCACCCUGACGGGGCUGAGGGCACCCCGAUAGCUGGUGCAACAGCCACUUCCGGGUGUGUGUGUGGUGUGCACAGAACACAUCAGCCUCUGAACUGGUGGACGGAGUAAGAUCACCGUCCCCGAGGUGGGGGGGGCUUCACCCAACCCAUCGAGGGCCUGGAUGGAGUGAAAAGGGGGGGCAAACUGUGUCUCCCUUGCUGAGCUGGGACGUCCCUGUCGUCCUGCUCCUCUGACCGUGGAGCUCAGGUCUCGGGCCCUUGGACUCGGGCUGACUGACCGCACGGGCUCCCCUGGCCUCCAGCGCCCCUGCCUCCAGCUCGCAGACGGAGGCCCCGGGCCUCAGGCCUCCACCCUGGCGAGCCGAUCCGGCAAUGCCGACCUCACACCGUCGGUAGAUGUCCUGUUGGUUCCGUUUCUCCGGAGAACCAGGGUCCUGACUUGAACAAAUCUGCUGGAGUAAAGGCAUCUGGAGCAGCGGGGCCCACGCGCGUGGACGGUGCCCGGGGCGAUGUUAUAACAUAAUUAGGGAAUGUGGAGGCGAAUUAAUGACGUGGUGGCUGUGAGAAAACAUCCUACUUCUCAGGGACACAACAGAAAUGUUUCAAAUGGAACAAGCUGAUGUCAAUCAUUUGCUUUAGUGUAAUUUGGGCAACGCAAGACUGACCUGAUGCCGAUGCAGUGAGCACGGGGGGAGGGCGCAAGUGCCGAGUCUGGGGGCGCACACAGGCCCACGCUUCAUCUCUCUGUUUCCGUGAAUGGUUGAAAAAUGCUAGAAACUCAGGAAUAUGUUUCGAGAUGGCUUUACUAGGAGGCAUGAAAGAUCAAGAGAGAAUCAACCCCGGUGAAGAGGGUUCAUCUGGGGGCUUAAGGGCGGGUCCAGAGAUAGGAGGGUCCGCCCUGGCGCCUCCUGGAGCAGAACCCACAGUUGGCUGGUGUGUGCUCCACACGCCCAGGGACAGCGGGCAGGCCACCUGGGUCUAGACACCUCCAGCUAAAACUGGCUGGAACAAUAAAGCCACCGAAGAAUUCCGCGUGAGGAGAAGC
Molecule: long non-coding RNA, 2399 nt
Filed under: Vulpes vulpes (red fox)
Lineage: Eukaryota; Metazoa; Chordata; Mammalia; Carnivora; Canidae
Description: lncRNA (ENSVVUG00000023902.1)
Source: RNAcentral